This 475-nucleotide long non-coding RNA is filed under the name Lupinus angustifolius (narrow-leaved blue lupine). RNAcentral describes it as "long non-coding RNA (LANG_LNC001493)". Lineage: Eukaryota; Viridiplantae; Streptophyta; Magnoliopsida; Fabales; Fabaceae. The record is from RNAcentral.
AUAUCACCACUUAUCAUCAUUGAGAGGAGAAAAUAUUAGGAUUGAGAUAACAACCACGCUAUAGGGAGACAUCUUCCUAGUAUACAUAAUUAGGUGGUCUUUAGGACAAAAAUUUCCUUGAUAUUUGUCAAACGCUGACACUUUGAACUUUGGGGGCACGAUCAAAUCUGAGACUAAACAUAUAUCACUAGCGUCCUUCAAACCAUAUGAAUUGGCUUCUUCCAUAGCUUUGAUUCUUUUCUCUAUGGCAUUUAUUUCAUCUUGAUCAUGAGGAAUGGUAGAGUGAUUGGGGUUGUCUCGAUCAACUGGGAUCUUCAUAUGAAAAAAAUUUCAAACUAGCUUCCGAGGAUGGUGUAUCGAUUUGGGCCACUAAUUAUAUUCCUUUCUUGGAUCGCUUCAGUCGGGUUCAAUUAUAUCAUCUUUGAAAUCAAUUUUAGUUCAUGGGCACCCUUGGCAAUGAAUAAUGAAAUACAUG